Cyprinus carpio carpio is the source of this 2106-nucleotide long non-coding RNA. NCBI's taxonomy places the organism in Eukaryota, Metazoa, Chordata, Actinopteri, Cypriniformes, Cyprinidae. The record is from Ensembl.
CACACACACACACACACACACACACACACACACACACACACACACACACACACACACACACACACACACACACAUAUAUAUAUAUAUAUAUAUAUAUAUAUAUAUAUAACAUGGAAUGGAAAGAGAUACAGAUUGUACUGUCAGCUUGCUGAGCAUGAUCUUUUAAAGUCCAUAUGUCAUAGACACUAUGAUUGUAACUACAGAACAUACAAUUUUGCGAUGCUAUUUUUGAAUGUUUGUUGGAUCUGUGGUUUCCGGAAACAGCAAAUUGUUGAACUAUGUUGGGAGCAGUUGAACUUGCAACCAUAUUUGGCUAAUGAUGCUUUUGGGAAACGCACCCGUUACCUUCUAUCUGUCAAUCUGCACAACUGUACAGUUUGCACAAAUACAGAACAGUUUCUGUGGCUGAUUCAGGCUAAACCACAGAAAGCUGCAGUAAUGGGUCGAAAAUUAGUUUUUAAAGGCAGCGUCAUUCCAAACCAUUACACAUCGACCAACAGCUGUUAAAAAAUACCCCACUAAAGAUCAUUAUAGUAAUUGUUAAACCUUUCAGAAUGUUUCUACAACCUUCUACCUCAUAGCAAACACACACAAAACAUCCCACUGGAGUUUCUGCCACUUUCUCUAGAGACCUGGCACUUUUCUAAAUCCCUGCUGCUCCUGAUCUUUCAAAGUUUGAUUAUUAUUAAGAGUUUUCAUAGUUCCUUUUGUAUAUUUAUUCACAAUGAUACUAUGAAUAUAAAAAGUGUGAGAUUUCUUUGGUCAAAACAACUAAUGAUGAUGAUGACAGUGUAUUUAUUGAACUAUACAUCCACAAAUUGCAUGUCGCUCACAAUCUGUUUUAUUUAUACUUGAUUUAAUCUUGAUUUAUAACACUGGUUUAAUGUUCAAAUAGUCAUCAAUAUUAACUCAUUUUUGCAUAUACAGACAGCAUCACUCAAAAUGCAUUUUCUGAACUGAACUUGGACACUCGUAAAAACAGUAUCUAUCUAGAAGUAAGACUAAUGUCAUAAACCUCUGGCGCACAAGGUUUGUCAAAGCUUAACCAAACACAAGGGCAGUGACCUUUUUCCACUUUAUAUAGAGCGCCUCAGAGAAGCUAGUCACAGCGGCAGACACAGAUGGGUCAGCUGGUCUCAUCAUGGAACAUUUAUGGUCUGUAGUGCAGCAGUAAAGAGUUACUUUAAGUAAAACAUUGACUUAACACUAUACAAGGACAAACAUUUAGUUCGGCAUGAAAGAAAAUGCUAGAACUAUUGUGCAGCUUUUCUGUGUAGUUUAAAUUAGAAUGCAAGCCAUUUGUUUUUAUAUCACCCACUGUGGUACAUUAUAUGUAUUUUGUUUAUGUAACUAUGUGAUGCUUAAGAUGUACAAUACUGCAAGAAAUUAAAUAUAACGUUAUGUAAAACCUGUUAGCACGGGGGUGCAUUGGUGUUUCUAGCUCGAGUCCCUCACAUUCAUUCACUGACAGUGGCAUGUGUAUUUCAGUUUUCUAUCCACUACUGGACAUUGUCCAGAGAAAAUCACUGAAAAGUUAUGAAUGAUUUUAUUUUUUACCAUAACAUUAUAGUAAACACCAGUUCUGCAAUUUUUUUUAUAAGUUGUCUUAAACUAAAUAAUAAAGAGUUAUAUAUCCAAAAAGUCGAACAUUUUCUUAAAUCAAAGAUGAAUAAAUCCUGAAAGCAGCAUUUUCAGAGGACUGGUUCAACCAAGAAGUGGUGGUUUUAAUCCAGAUCAGUUAACAUUCUUUUCACAUUCUCAAGUAGCCUGUAAGUAAAAGCAUCCAUUUUUCCAAUUUUUGUGGUGGUUAGAUGUGAUGGUGUGUUUUAUCCACUAAUGAAAUUUAAAGGAAUAGUUCACCCAAAAAUGAAAAUUUGGUCAUCAUUUACUCAUGCUCAUGUCAUUUCAAACAUUUCAAAGACAUUUGUUCAGCAUCAAAACACAAAUGAAGAUAUAUUCAAUGAAAUUUCUGUCCCUCCAAUGGACUAUUUCAGCUAAACUUUUUUCAUAAAAGUAAUGCAUAUGGAUUGAGCAGUUUACUAUAUGUGCUCUGUUUGUUUGUUGAUCAAUGUUUAUACAUGAAUAAAAGCCUAAAUUAAAUCUGUU